CUUUGUGUUAGGAAUUGUUUGUGGAAUUUGGUGUUCGGGUAAAAAUACCUGAAUUUUAUUAUGGGACGAGAAGACCCUAUAGAGUGUUAUGUAAUUUUCUUUUUUUGGUUUGUUURUGUUUGUUGGGUUUUAGUUGCAUUUUGUUGGGGUGAUGGGAGAAUAUACUUAACUUCUCUUUUUAUUAUUUCAUUUAUUUAUGUUUUUGUGAUCCUUUAUUAUUGAUUAUAAGAUUAAAUUACCUUAGGGAUA
Molecule: ribosomal RNA, 249 nt
Filed under: Cryptotermes mangoldi
Lineage: Eukaryota; Metazoa; Arthropoda; Insecta; Blattodea; Kalotermitidae
Description: partial large subunit ribosomal RNA
Source: RNAcentral